AUGCUGCUGAACCAGAUUGCUAAUUCCAUGCGGACAGAAGGUGGAGACCUCACAACGGGAAAUGAGAUGGUGCUUGCACAGUCAAUCCCGGUGGAUCCGCUGGACCUCGAUAGCACGCACAGGGGUAUGACCCAGCAGGAAGGGGUGGCAUACGAGAAGCUCCGGGCAUUUUGCGCCAAUAUCAUGAAGAAACUAGCGCCACCUCUGCUGCGUGAGGUUCAGGCCUCAUCACUCCGCCCGGAUGCAGAGCCAUUCACGCCCAAGCGAACCACAAGGGCAUCCAAGCACAGCGUGGGUACGAGUGCGGUGAAGCCGAAGCCGACGGAGAAUGUGCUUUUACGCACUCUUGGCUUAGUGCCAGACGACAUGGUAGCGGACGAGGAUGCAGUGAGUGAGCUACAGCAGCUGUCCGACUUGCCGCUGAGGGAGCAACACGUGCGCAUCAUUGCAGCGCUGUUCGGCAAGACAGUGCCAUCGGCAGACGCCUUGACCCACAGCACAGAUGUGACAGUUUCAGUUCGGUGA
RNAcentral lists this ribosomal RNA (525 nucleotides) under Triticum aestivum (bread wheat). RNAcentral's name for it is "partial small subunit ribosomal RNA". Lineage: Eukaryota; Viridiplantae; Streptophyta; Magnoliopsida; Poales; Poaceae. The record is from RNAcentral.